Molecule: ribosomal RNA, 1500 nt
Filed under: Triticum aestivum (bread wheat)
Lineage: Eukaryota; Viridiplantae; Streptophyta; Magnoliopsida; Poales; Poaceae
Description: partial small subunit ribosomal RNA
Source: RNAcentral
AUGCCUAAGACCAAGCACUCCGCAUGCAAGCAAGUCACCGGUGGUCUGGCUCGUUUGUAUCGUCGUGGUGGCUCGUCUAGCAACUCCUCCUCAGAGGGAUCGGACUAUGAGGAUGAACUUGAGGAGGUGGAACCGGCCCCGUUUGUUGAUGUUCACAUUUCUACACCCAAGCCGGGAACUCGUCGUCCAACCUUCCAGCCUCCUCCUCCUCCGGUGCAACCCCACGGUGAUGCUCGUCAUAUAUCCCUUGAGCCUCCAUUACCACUCGGCCGCCAUAUUAAGCGGUUCAACAAGGUUCCCACCGCUUCUUAUCUUAAAUUGCAUCACGAUGUUGAUCAAUUUACUGUUGUUAGGGAUUCUCAGGAUAGUCGUUUUCGCACUAAUGUCCAAGCCGACAUCUUUACCACUAUUGUCAUUCCUAAAGGCUUGUCUCUCCAUGUCUGCAUUGACCUAGAGCAUAUUCGCACUCAUCCGGAUAAAUAUCCGGGGGCUAUUGAGUUCAUUGAGUCAUCUAAUCUUGCUGCUCCAUUUGCAUUUCAACAUGACUUUAACCAAGCUGCCAUUCAUCACUUCUAUGCCACAUGCUAUUUUAGUCCAAAUAACACUGUCACUUGGAUGACCUCCGAUGCUGUGCUCACAUCAUCUUAUGCUCAAUUUGUUAAUGCCCUUGGGUUUCGUGACACCGGGUUCAAAAUCCACAAGGAUGAUCCCAACCAUAGGCCCAAGGGCAUUGAGGUCUGUGCGGAUCUUCUCAAACCGAUAGAAAUGUUGACUAACAUAGAGAAACAAAAGGGUCUGAACCAAGUCUCCAUUUGGCGCUCCCCUUUUUACAUCAUCUAUCAGUGUGUCAUCUGCACCAUCUAUCCCAAGAUGGGCGACAAAGGCUCUUGCAAUAGCUAUUGCAUUGAUCUCAUGCAUUGCCUCUUUGCAUCCCCCCAAGGGAAGAUAAAUGUUCCACACUUUCUAUGGCAUGAGAUCCGCCUCGCUAUCCUUCAGCACAAGCGGGCCUUUCCUCAUGCCCCCUUCCUUCAGGAUUUUAUCGAGAGUGUCGCUUCUUUUCCCAUUGCCCGCACUCACGUGUAUGAGCGAUGGGUUAUUCCAGCUCACAUGGCGGCUGAUCAUGUUCCUCCUCCUCCUACUCCUGCUCGUCGCACCGCAGCUAGUGUUCCUUCUCAUGCUGCCCGUUCUCCUUCCAGUUCUACACCCUUUGGGCGCAUUGCUCGCUUUCUUGGGAAGUCUCACUCUGCAAUGAUGAAUAUGUUCACCUUUCAUUGCUCCCAACAUCACGAUGUUGUCACUCGCAUGGUCACUUCCAAGAAUGCUCUGAAGGCUCGUCUGAGAGACUCCGUAGUGUAUGAUGUGAGUCAUGAUGAACACCUUCCUGACGAGCCUCCUUCUUACUUUGGUUUCCCCUCGGGUCCUGAGUGGGCUGAUUUCUUCGACGAGGCGGGUGGCAGUGGUGCUCAUGAUGAUGAUGAUGAUGAUGAGGAUGAUCUAUGA